Molecule: ribosomal RNA, 623 nt
Filed under: uncultured bacterium
Lineage: Bacteria
Description: bacterial SSU rRNA
Rfam family: Bacterial small subunit ribosomal RNA
Source: RNAcentral
AGCAAACAGGAUUAGAUACCCUGGAGUGCACGCCGUAAACGAUGAAUACUAGGUGUCGGGGUCCACAGGACUUCGGUGCCGCAGAAACGCAAUAAGUAUUCCACCUGGGGAGUACGUUCGCAAGAAUGAAACUCAAAGGAAUUGCGGGGACCCGCACAAGCGGUGGAGCAUGUGGUUUAAUUCGAAGCAACACGAAGAACCUUACAAGUCUUGACAUCCCUCUGACCGUCACUUAACCGUGACUUUCCUUCGGGACAGAGGAGAAGGUGGUGCAUGGUUGUCGUCAGCUCGUGUCGUGAGAUGUUGGGUUAAGUCCCGCAACGACGCAACCCCUAUCCUUAGUAGCCAGCGGAUUUUGCCGGGCACUCUGAGGAGACUGCCAGGAUAACCUGGAGGAAGGUGGGGAUGACGUCAAAUCAUCAUGCCCCUUAUGAUUUGGGCUACCACGUGCUACAAUGGCGUAAACAAAGGGAAGCGAACCUGCGAGGGCAAGCAAAUCUCAAAAUAACGUCCCAGUUCGGACUGCAGUCUGCAACUCGACUGCACGAAGCUGGAAUCGCUAGUAUCGCGGAUCAGAAUGCCGCGGUGAAUACGUUCCCGGGUCUUGUACUCACCGCCCGUAA